GAUUGUAGUUGCCCGGGGAAAGGAGGAGAAUUCUGCUGAGAGUACCAAACACUAGAAUUCUGUCUUGGUGCCUGGAUUUGGACUCUUCUCUUACCUGAUUAUUCAAUUGUAACUUGGAACUGUAAUAGUGACUUAGUGAAAGGUGUGUAAUGCCAUUUUUUUUUUUUUACUUUUAUCGAAUCCUUUUUAUUUCAUUCUAUGGCAUAAGCCUGGCUUGCAUUAUUUGCUAGAAUUUCUGCUCUCUG
Telopea speciosissima is the source of this 245-nucleotide long non-coding RNA. RefSeq lists it as uncharacterized. The transcript has 3 exons. The record is from RefSeq and is a predicted model, not a curated record. Lineage: Eukaryota; Viridiplantae; Streptophyta; Magnoliopsida; Proteales; Proteaceae.